RNAcentral lists this small nucleolar RNA (311 nucleotides) under Cajanus cajan (pigeon pea). RNAcentral's name for it is "snoRNA gene-KK1_023085". The record is from RNAcentral. Lineage: Eukaryota; Viridiplantae; Streptophyta; Magnoliopsida; Fabales; Fabaceae.
UUUUAGUUUAUUUCUUUAAAAUUUUAAAUCAAUGUUUUUAGUCCUUUUAUUUUGUGAUUUUCAUUAUGUGUUUAUCAAAAGGUUAAGUAAUAAUUUUGGAGAAUCUACAACUGUCUAUGAUAUAUUAUCUAAAAAUAAUUAUCAGGCAUCAACUGUUUUUAGAUUUUAUUGGAUGAAAAUUAAUAUAUAUAUAUAUAUAUAUAUAUAUAUAUAUAUAUUAUAAGUCAUAUAUCUAUUUUUAUAAAUUUAAAAUAUAAUUUAUAUAAUUAAAUUUGAUUUAUAAGUCAUAUAUCUAUUUUUAUAAAUUUAAA